GAUAACGACCAUAUCACGAUGAAAAUACCAGUUUUCGUCUGAUCACUGAAGUCAAGCAUCGUUGAGCGUGGUUAUAGUACUUGGAUGGGUGACCGCUUGGGAACACCACGUGUCGUUAUCU
Molecule: ribosomal RNA, 121 nt
Filed under: Aphidius gifuensis
Lineage: Eukaryota; Metazoa; Arthropoda; Insecta; Hymenoptera; Braconidae
Source: RNAcentral